AUUGAACGCUGGCGGCAGGCUUAACACAUGCAAGUCGAGCGGGGUGAUGGUGCUUGCACUAUCACUUAGCGGCGGACGGGUGAGUAAUGCUUAGGAAUCUGCCUAUUAGUGGGGGACAACAUCUCGAAAGGGAUGCUAAUACCGCAUACGUCCUACGGGAGAAAGCAGGGGAUCACUUGUGACCUUGCGCUAAUAGAUGAGCCUAAGUCGGAUUAGCUAGUUGGUGGGGUAAAGGCCUACCAAGGCGACGAUCUGUAGCGGGUCUGAGAGGAUGAUCCGCCACACUGGGACUGAAACACGGCCCAGACUCCUACGGGAGGCAGCAGUGGGGAAUAGUGGACAAUGGGGGGAACCCUGAUCCAGCCAUGCCGCGUGUGUGAAGAAGGCCUUAUGGUUGUAAAGCACUUUAAGCGAGGAGGAGGCUCUUUUGGUUAAUACCCAAGAUGAGUGGACGUUACUCGCAGAAUAAGCACCGGCUAACUCUGUGCCAGCAGCCGCGGUAA
This 503-nucleotide ribosomal RNA is filed under the name uncultured bacterium. RNAcentral's name for it is "partial 16S ribosomal RNA". It matches the Rfam family "Bacterial small subunit ribosomal RNA", at positions 30 to 523 of the family's 1533-position model. The record is from RNAcentral.